ACGCUCCAUGCAAGUCGAGCGGUACAGAAGUAUUGCUACUUUGCUGACAGCGGGGACGGGUGAGUAAUGCUUGGGAAUAUGCCUUUUGGUGGGGGACAACAGUUGGAAACGACUGCUAAUACCGCAUAAUGUCUACGGACCAAAGUGGGGGACCUUCGGGCCUCACGCCAAAAGAUUAGCCCAAGUGGGAUUAGCUAGUUGGUAAGGUAAUGGCUUACCAAGGCAACGAUCCCUAGCUGGUUUGAAGGAUGAUCAGCCACACUGGGACUGAGACACGGCCCAGACUCCUACGGGAGGCAGCAGUGGGGAAUAUUGCACAAUGGGCGCAAGCCUGAUGCAGCCAUGCCGCGUGUGUGAAGAAGGCCUUCGGGUUGUAAAACACUUUCAGUAAGGAGGAAAGGGUAGUCUUUAAUAGAGGCUAUCUGUGACGUUACUUACAGAAGAAGCACCGGCUAACUCCGUGCCAGCAGCCGCGGUAAUACGGAGGGUGCGAGCGUUAAUCGGAAUUACUGGGCGUAAAGCGUACGCAGCGGUUUGUUAAGCGAGAUGUGAAAGCCCCGGGCUCAACCUGGGAACUGCAUUUCGAACUGGCAAACUAGAGUGUGAUAGAGGGUGGUAGAAUUUCAGGUGUAGCGGUGAAAUGCGUAGAGAUCUGAAGGAGUACCGAUGGCGAAGGCAGCCACCUGGGUCAACACUGACGCUCAUGUACGAAAGCGUGGGGAGCAAACAGGAUUAGAUACCCUGGUAGUCCACGCCGUAACGAUGUCUACUAAAGCUCGGAGCCUCGGUUCUGUUUUUCAAAGCUACGCAUUAAGUAGACCGCCUGGGGAGUACGGCCGCAAGGUUAAAACUCAAAUGAAUUGACGGGGGCCCGCACAAGCGGUGGAGCAUGUGGUUUAAUUCGAUGCAACGCGAAGAACCUUACCUACACUUGACAUACAGAACUUACCAGAGAUGGUUUGGUGCCUUCGGUCUGAUACGCUGCAUGUGUCGUCAGCUGUUGGUUGGGUCCCAACGAACCUAUCGCUAGCGUAUGUGAUCUAGGACUGCCGGCUCGAGAAGGUGGGACCACUCAUCCUCAGUUGAAGGUUAC
This 1093-nucleotide ribosomal RNA is filed under the name uncultured Pseudoalteromonas sp. Its description in RNAcentral is "bacterial SSU rRNA". It matches the Rfam family "Bacterial small subunit ribosomal RNA", at positions 51 to 1118 of the family's 1533-position model. Lineage: Bacteria; Pseudomonadati; Pseudomonadota; Gammaproteobacteria; Alteromonadales; Pseudoalteromonadaceae. The record is from RNAcentral.